Molecule: ribosomal RNA, 544 nt
Filed under: Bifidobacterium dentium
Lineage: Bacteria; Bacillati; Actinomycetota; Actinomycetes; Bifidobacteriales; Bifidobacteriaceae
Description: bacterial SSU rRNA
Rfam family: Bacterial small subunit ribosomal RNA
Source: RNAcentral
GGGUGGUAAUGCCGGAUGCUCCGGUUGGAUGCAUGUCCUUCCGGGAAAGAUCCGUCGGUAUGGGAUGGGGUCGCGUCCUAUCAGCUUGAUGGCGGGGUAACGGCCCACCAUGGCUUCGACGGGUAGCCGGCCUGAGAGGGCGACCGGCCACAUUGGGACUGAGAUACGGCCCAGACUCCUACGGGAGGCAGCAGUGGGGAAUAUUGCACAAUGGGCGCAAGCCUGAUGCAGCGACGCCGCGUGCGGGAUGGAGGCCUUCGGGUUGUAAACCGCUUUUGAUCGGGAGCAAGCCCUUCGGGGUGAGUGUACCUUUCGAAUAAGCACCGGCUAACUACGUGCCAGCAGCCGCGGUAAUACGUAGGGUGCAAGCGUUAUCCGGAAUUAUUGGGCGUAAAGGGCUCGUAGGCGGUUCGUCGCGUCCGGUGUGAAAGCCCAUCGCUUAACGGUGGGUCUGCGCCGGGUACGGGCGGGCUGGAGUGCGGUAGGGGAGACUGGAAUUCCCGGUGUAACGGUGGAAUGUGUAGAUAUCGGAAAAAAAACACCA